GAUGAACGCUGGCGGCGUGCCUAAUACAUGCAAGUAGAACGCUGAAGGAAGGAGCUUGCUCUUUCCGGAUGAGUUGCGAACGGGUGAGUAACGCGUAGGUAACCUGCCUGGUAGCGGGGGAUAACUAUUGGAAACGAUAGCUAAUACCGCAUAACAGUAGAUAUUGCAUGAUAUCUGCUUGAAAGGGGCAAUUGCUCCACUACCAGAUGGACCUGCGUUGUAUUAGCUAGUUGGUGAGGUAACGGCUCACCAAGGCGACGAUACAUAGCCGACCUGAGAGGGUGAUCGGCCACACUGGGACUGAGACACGGCCCAGACUCCUACGGGAGGCAGCAGUAGGGAAUCUUCGGCAAUGGACGGAAGUCUGACCGAGCAACGCCGCGUGAGUGAAGAAGGUUUUCGGAUCGUAAAGCUCUGUUGUAAGAGAAGAACGAGUGUGAGAGUGGAAAGUUCACACUGUGACGGUAUCUUACCAGAAAGGGACGGCUAACUACGU
Molecule: ribosomal RNA, 496 nt
Filed under: uncultured bacterium
Lineage: Bacteria
Description: partial 16S ribosomal RNA
Rfam family: Bacterial small subunit ribosomal RNA
Source: RNAcentral